Molecule: ribosomal RNA, 1041 nt
Filed under: uncultured bacterium
Lineage: Bacteria
Description: bacterial SSU rRNA
Rfam family: Bacterial small subunit ribosomal RNA
Source: RNAcentral
AGAGUUUGAUCAUGGCUCAGGACGAACGUUGGCGGCGCGCUUAAUGCAUGCAAGUCGAACGAGAACCAGUGAGUUCGUAAGAACCCGCUGGGGACAGUGGCGAACGGGUGCGUAACACGUGAGAAACCUGCCCUGGAGACCGGGAUAGCGCGGGGAAACCCGCAUUAAUACCGGAUACCUUCACCGGACCGCAUGGUCUGGUGAAGAAAUGGUCCGCCGCUCCAGGAUGGUCUCGCGGCCUAUCAGCUUGUUGGUGAGGUAACGGCUCACCAAGGCAGCGACGGGUAGCUGGUCUGAGAGGACGAUCAGCCACACUGGGACUGAGACACGGCCCAGACUCCUACGGGAGGCAGCAGCAGGGAAUAUUGCACAAUGGGCGAAAGCCUGAUGCAGCGACGCCGCGUGCGGGAUGAAGGCCUUCGGGUUGUAAACCGCUUUCAGGAGGGAAGAAAAUGACGGUACCUCCAGAAGAAGGCCCGGCCAACUACGUGCCAGCAGCCGCGGUAAUACGUAGGGGCCAAACGUUGUCCGGAAUUAUUGGGCGUAAAGAGCUCGUAGGCGGCUUGACAAGUCGGACGUGAAAACCCGGGGCUCAACCCCGGGACGCCGUUCGAAACUGUCAUGGCUAGGGUCCGGUAGAGGUGAGUGGAAUUCUAGGUGUAGCGGUGAAAUGCGCAGAUAUCUAGAGGAACACCAGUAGCGAAGGCGGCUCACUGGGCCGGUACCGACGCUGAGGAGCGAAAGCAUGGGGAGCAAACAGGAUUAGAUACCCUGGUAGUCCAUGCCGUAAACGUUGAACACUAGGUGUGGCGGACUUAUCCACGUCUGCUGUGCCGCAGCUAACGCAUUAAGCGUUCCGCCUGGGGAGUACGGCCGCAAGGCUAAAACUCAAAGGAAUUGACGGGGCCCCGCACAAGCGGCGGAGCAUGCGGCUUAAUUCGAUGCAACCCGAAGAACCUUACCUGGACUUGACAUCAUGGGUCUACCUGUAGAGAUACGGGGUGCUUUUGCGCCCAUGACAGGUGGUGCAUGGCUGUCGUC